UCGAGAAUCUUCCGCAAUGGACGAAAGUCUGACGGAGCGACGCCGCGUGGAGGAUGAAGUGCUUCGGCAUGUAAACUCCUUUUGCCAGGGAAAAAGUUUAUUGAUUGUACCUGGAGAAUAAGAGGUUGCUAAACUCGUGCCAGCAGCAGCGGUAAUACGAGUGCCUCGAGCGUUAUCCGGAAUCAUUGGGCGUAAAGGGUGCGUAGGCGGCGAUGUUAGUCUCCCGUAAAAUCUCUGGGCUCAACCCAGAGUCUGCGGGAGAUACGGCAUUGCUAGAGGAUGGUAGGGGUCUCUGGAACUCAUGGUGUAGCGGUGAAAUGCGUUGAUAUCAUGGGGAACACCAAAAGCGAAGGCAAGAGACUGGACCACUCCUGACGCUGAAGCACGAAAGCGUGGGUCGCGAAUGGGAUUAGAUACCCCCGUAGUCC
RNAcentral lists this ribosomal RNA (428 nucleotides) under uncultured bacterium. RNAcentral's name for it is "bacterial SSU rRNA". It matches the Rfam family "Bacterial small subunit ribosomal RNA", at positions 355 to 796 of the family's 1533-position model. The record is from RNAcentral.